Molecule: long non-coding RNA, 435 nt
Organism: Oreochromis niloticus (Nile tilapia)
Lineage: Eukaryota; Metazoa; Chordata; Actinopteri; Cichliformes; Cichlidae
Exons: 2
Source: RefSeq, a predicted model, not a curated record
UGCUGCUUCUUGCUGGAUGAAGAGGACGACAUGGACUGGAAGGACUGAGAACAAUCAGAAACUGCUGACAGACUCCUCGUCCUCCUGGAUUCGUCCUCCACUUCCUGUUUGCUAGGUGACUCCUGAAGACGACUGGGUUGUUUGAUGAAAGGUGAAGCUUACAGUCCGACCAGCGGCAGGCUGGAGGCUUUCGGAUCAGACUCAAGCAGCAGAAGCAACUUCCUGGUCUGGUCCAUGGUCAGAAACCUGAAAGGAGAACUAAGACGUCAGCAAACGUGAUUAGAGGCCGCGACGUGUGGCGAUGAACUCUCGCUCUCUCACCCUCUCUGUCGGCUGCUUUCAUGCCCCAGCGGUCUGCUUACGUUGGUCAGACUCCUGAACAGAGCAGUCGGGAUGAUGGGGACACUUCUGACCGGCUCCACUUCCACGCUGACA